AUUCAUUUAAAGAGUGCGUAACAGCUCACUAGUCGAGCGUUCUUGCGCGGAAAAUAAUCGGGCAUCAAGAUAUCUACCGAAGCUUUGGAUUCAUAGUAAUAUGAGUGGUAGGGGAGCAUUCUAGAGCGUUGAAGCCGUACUGUGAGGUAUGGUGGAGCGAAGAGAAAAGCAAAUGUAGGCAUGAGUAACGAUAAUUAAGAUGAGAAAUCUUAACGCCGUAAGACUAAGGGUUCCUAGAUCUAUGUUAAUCAGAUCAGGGUUAGUCGGGUCCUAAGGUGUACCCAAGAGGGGAAGCUGAUGGCAAGCCGGUUAAUAUUCCGGCACCUGUAUAUACUGCGAUGGGGGGACGAAGGAGCGUAAGGCUGGCCACGAGACGGAAUACGUGGUUGAAGUGCGUAGAUGUUGAUUCGGUAGGCAAAUCCGCCGGAGAGUUGAAACACGAUAGUAUUCUGAUGACUUCGGUCAUUGGGAAUAAAGCCCCAAGCAAGCUUCCGAGAAAAGCCUCUAAGCUUCAGGUAUAUAGAGCCCGUACCGCAAACCGACACAGGUGGUCGAGGAGAGUAUCCUAAGGCGCUCGAGUGAUCCGUGGCUAAGGAACUAGGCAAAAUAGUCUCGUAACUUCGGGAGAAGAGACGCCCCGCGUGAGCGGGGCCGCAGUGAAGAGGCCCAGGCGACUGUUUAGCAAAAACACAGGACUCUGCAAAUUCGAAAGAAGAAGUAUAGGGUCUGACACCUGCCCGGUGCUGGAAGGUUAAGAGAGGGGGUUAGCGCAAGCGAAGCUCUUAAUUGAAGCCCCAGUAAACGGCGGCCGUAACUAUAACGGUCCUAAGGUAGCGAAAUUCCUUGUCGGGUAAGUUCCGACCUGCACGAAUGGUGUAACGAUCUGGGCACUGUCUCAGCCACGAGCUCGGUGAAAUUGAAGUAUCGGUGAAGAUGCCGAUUACCCGCAAUGGGACGAAAAGACCCCGUGAACCUUUACUAUAACUUCACAUUGGGCUUGAAUAUAAGAUGUGUAGGAUAGGUGGGAGACUGCGAAGUUGUCACGCUAGUGGUGAUGGAGUCGGCGUUGAAAUACCACCCUUUUUAUAUUUAGGUCCUAAUCCCUGGAAAGAGGGAGACAGUGUGUGGCGGGUAGUUUGACUGGGGUGGUCGCCUCCGAAAGAGUAACGGAGGCUUGCAAAGGUACCCUCAGUGCCGUUGGUAACGGUACGCAGAGCAUAUUAGUAGAAGGGUGCUUGACUGAGAGACUGACGGGUCGAUCAGGGUCGAAAGACGGCUAAAGUGAUCCGGUGUUUCCGCAUGGAAGGGACAUCGCUCAAAGGAUAAAAGGUACUCCGGGGAUAACAGGCUGAUCUCCCCCAAGAGCUCAUAUCGACGGGGAGGUUUGGCACCUCGAUGUCGGCUCGUCACAUCCUGGGGCUGGAGAAGGUCCCAAGGGUUGGGCUGUUCGCCCAUUAAAGUGGCACGUGAGCUGGGUUCAGAACGUCGCAAGACAGUUCGGUCUCUAUCUAUUGUGGGCGUUGGAAUAUUGAGGAGUCCUGACACUAGUACGAGAGGACCGUGUUGGACGAACCGCUAGUGUACCUGUUGUGGCGCCAGCUGCAGUGCAGGGUAGCUAUGUUCGGACUGGAUAAGCACUGAAAGCAUCUAAGUGCGAAGCCAUCUCCAAGAUGAGUAUUCCUUGAAGGGUCGUAGAAGAUGACUACGUUGAUAGGCUACAGGUGGAAGUGCAGUAAUGUAUGGAGCUGAGUAGUACUAAUUACCCGAAAGCUUCCUUU
RNAcentral lists this ribosomal RNA (1778 nucleotides) under activated sludge metagenome. RNAcentral's name for it is "bacterial LSU rRNA". It matches the Rfam family "Bacterial large subunit ribosomal RNA", at positions 1118 to 2925 of the family's 2925-position model. The record is from RNAcentral.